UAUGGCCCGAUCUCUUUUAUAACUGUUCUCACAGUAUGUGUCUUAUUUGGGUUGUUCUGGUGACUAAACAAAUAGGUUUACUUCUGGCAAUGAAAGAGUUCAAGUCUCACACACAGGAGCUACGAUGGCAGGAAGAAAUUGUUCGUAACAUCAGUUCCCCACGCCUGUCUCAACUCAUUUAUUUCAACCAAGGUCUACAGAUAUAAAUAAAAGGAAAUGUUACUGGAGCAUUUUAACUUCAAACCAGCCUUGAAGCCAGUAAUGUAACCACAUAUCAUCAAAGCAAAAAGUGCUGAUUCUCCUUUUCUUAAAAAGGCCAAACCUGCAGGUCC
Molecule: long non-coding RNA, 332 nt
Filed under: Lepisosteus oculatus (spotted gar)
Lineage: Eukaryota; Metazoa; Chordata; Actinopteri; Semionotiformes; Lepisosteidae
Description: lncRNA (ENSLOCG00000022633.1)
Source: RNAcentral